UCAACUUACCCUAUGGAGAAAAAUAACCUCGGGAAAGUAUCAUAGUGGCUUAAAGAAUAUAUCAAAAGACUAUGAUACCCCGAAACUGAGGAUAAUGUUUCAUGGUUGAAUAGGCUUGGAAAAGUUUUUCAAUGAAUGGGAUAAGGAAAAUGGUUCUUAUCUGCCAUAGGAUAGGAUCGUGGUCGAUUAUGGUUGUUGGUGAGGUAACGGCUCACCAAGCCGAUAAUCGAUAGGGGCCGUGAGAGCGGGAGCCCCAAGAUGGGUACUGAGACAACGACCCAGGCCUUACGAGGCGCAGCAGGUGCGAGACCUCCGCAAUACACGAAAGUGUGACGGGGUUACCCAAAGUGUUCUAUUUUGAACUGUGGUAGGCGAGUAAUGUCCCCUACUAGAAAGGAGAGGGCAAGGCUGGUGCCAGCCGCCGCGGUAAAACCAGCUCUUCAAGUGGUCGGGAUAAUUAUUGGGCUUAAAGCGUCCGUAGCCGGUUUAGUAAGUUCCUGGUAAAAUCGGGUAGCUUAACUAUCCGUAUGCUAGGAAUACUGCUAUACUAGAGGGCGGGAGAGGUCUGAGGUACUAUAGGGGUAGGGGUGAAAUCUUAUAAUCCUUGUAGGACCACCAGUGGCGAAGGCGUCAGACUGGAACGCGCCUGACGGUGAGGGACGAAAGCCAGGGGAGCGAACCGGAUUAGAUACCCGGGUAGUCCUGGCCGUAAACGAUGCAUACUAGGUGAUGGUACGGCCGUGAGCCGUGUCAGUGCCGUAGGGAAACCG
Molecule: ribosomal RNA, 770 nt
Filed under: uncultured archaeon
Lineage: Archaea
Description: bacterial SSU rRNA
Rfam family: Archaeal small subunit ribosomal RNA
Source: RNAcentral